This 497-nucleotide ribosomal RNA is filed under the name uncultured bacterium. RNAcentral's name for it is "partial 16S ribosomal RNA". It matches the Rfam family "Bacterial small subunit ribosomal RNA", at positions 28 to 507 of the family's 1533-position model. The record is from RNAcentral.
GAUGAACGCUGGCGGCGUGCCUAAUACAUGCAAGUCGAGCGAACAGACGAGGAGAUUGCUCCUCUGACGUUAGCGGCGGAAGGGUGAGUAACACGGGGAUAACCUAGCUAUAAGACGGGGAGAACGGCGGGAAAACGGAGCUAAGAACGGAUAAGAGAGGUAACCGCAUGGUUCAAUAGUGAAAGACGGUUUUGCUGUCAAGGAUAGAUGGAGCCGCGCCGCAUUAGGUAGUUGGGCAGGUAACGGCUUACCAAGGCAACGAUGCGUAGCCGACCUGAGAGGGUGAUCGCACCCACUGGCGCUUCUCAAGCGUCCCUCCUCCUACGGCCUCCCGCCGUAUGGCUUCUUCCGCAAUGGGCGACAUCCUCACGGAGCAACGCCGCGUGAGUGAUGAAUGUCUUCGUAUCGUAAAACUCUGUUAUUAGGGCAGAACCCCUUUGUAAGUAACUAUGCACGUCUUGCCGGUACCUAAUCAGAAAGCCACGGCUAACUACGUG